UGCAAAGUAGACUAAGGUUAGGUCGCUGGGCUCAUGAUCCAUCUAAGGGGGUUCGAUUCUCUCCUUUGAAC
Molecule: transfer RNA, 71 nt
Filed under: Sphaeroforma arctica JP610
Lineage: Eukaryota; Ichthyosporea; Ichthyophonida
Rfam family: tRNA
About the family: Transfer RNA (tRNA) molecules are approximately 80 nucleotides in length. Their secondary structure includes four short double-helical elements and three loops (D, anti-codon, and T loops).
Source: Rfam by way of RNAcentral